CAUUUAUAAAUUCGGGCCUCAGCCAUCAUGGACACAAACAGACACAGAAAGGGACAUGCAAGACGCUGCAGCCAUUUAAUGGACAGGAUGACAUUGAGCUCUCUGCUGUUUGAAGUUGAAAGCACAGCUGGUGGCAAUUUUUCUCUGAAUUUGGAGGUUGUGGAGCAAACGGGAAAUUUCAUGCUGCAAACCAUGGUGGAGGCCAACUGAACUUUAGGAACUCACGUGCUUGGAGACGGGGACAAGUUCUCUGGCGACCAUGCAACUGAGUGCAAUCACCCUAAAGAGAAGCAUUUAGAAGCCAUAAAACCUAAAUGCCCUGCCAUGCAUCAUUACAUCUCACAG
This is a long non-coding RNA of Pteronotus mesoamericanus, 345 nucleotides long. RefSeq lists it as uncharacterized. The transcript is spliced from 3 exons. The record is from RefSeq and is a predicted model, not a curated record. NCBI's taxonomy places the organism in Eukaryota, Metazoa, Chordata, Mammalia, Chiroptera, Mormoopidae.